GACCGUGUAGCUCAGUUGGAAGAGCAUUGGGCUAGUAUUCCAAAGGUCGUAGGUUCGAAUCCCACCAUGGCCG
This 73-nucleotide transfer RNA is filed under the name Paramuricea clavata. It matches the Rfam family "tRNA". Rfam says of the family: Transfer RNA (tRNA) molecules are approximately 80 nucleotides in length. Their secondary structure includes four short double-helical elements and three loops (D, anti-codon, and T loops). Further hydrogen bonds mediate the characteristic L-shaped molecular structure. tRNAs have two regions of fundamental functional importance: the anti-codon, which is responsible for specific mRNA codon recognition, and the 3' end, to which the tRNAs corresponding amino acid is attached (by aminoacyl-tRNA synthetases). tRNAs cope with the degeneracy of the genetic code in two manners: having more than one tRNA (with a specific anti-codon) for a particular amino acid; and 'wobble' base-pairing, i.e. permitting non-standard base-pairing at the 3rd anti-codon position. The record is from Rfam by way of RNAcentral. Lineage: Eukaryota; Metazoa; Cnidaria; Anthozoa; Malacalcyonacea; Plexauridae.